RNAcentral lists this ribosomal RNA (263 nucleotides) under Bacteroides caecigallinarum. Its description in RNAcentral is "partial 16S ribosomal RNA". It matches the Rfam family "Bacterial small subunit ribosomal RNA", at positions 65 to 325 of the family's 1533-position model. Lineage: Bacteria; Pseudomonadati; Bacteroidota; Bacteroidia; Bacteroidales; Bacteroidaceae. The record is from RNAcentral.
AGCGGGAUUGAAGCUUGCUUCAAUUGCCGGCGACCGGCGCACGGGUGAGUAACGCGUAUCCAACCUUCCGUUUACUCGGGGAUAGCCUUUCGAAAGAAAGAUUAAUACCUGAUAGUAUGGUAAGAUUGCAUGGUAAUACCAUUAAAGAUUCAUUGGUAAACGAUGGGGAUGCGUUCCAUUAGGUAGUAGGCGGGGUAACGGCCCACCUAGCCGACGAUGGAUAGGGGUUCUGAGAGGAAGGUCCCCCACAUUGGAACUGAGAC